UGGGGAAUAUUGCACAAUGGGCGAAAGCCUGAUCCAGCCAUGCCGCAUGAGUGAAGAAGGCCUUUGGGUUGUAAAGCUCUUUUAGUGAGGAAGAUAAUGACGGUACUCACAGAAGAAGUCCUGGCUAACUCCGUGCCAGCAGCCGCGGUAAUACGGAGCGGGCUAGCGUUAUUCGGAAUUAUUGGGCGUAAAGGGCGCGUAGGCUGGUUAAUAAGUUAAAAGUGAAAUCCCGAGGCUUAACCUUGGAAUUGCUUUUAAAACUAUUAAUCUAGAGAUUGAAAGAGGAUAGAGGAAUUCCUGAUGUAGAGGUAAAAUUCGUAAAUAUUAGGAGGAACACCAGUGGCGAAGGCGUCUAUCUGGUUCAAAUCUGACGCUGAAGCGCGAAGGCGUGGGGAGCAAACA
This 402-nucleotide ribosomal RNA is filed under the name uncultured bacterium. Its description in RNAcentral is "partial 16S ribosomal RNA". It matches the Rfam family "Bacterial small subunit ribosomal RNA", at positions 355 to 774 of the family's 1533-position model. The record is from RNAcentral.